Frieseomelitta varia is the source of this 3786-nucleotide long non-coding RNA. RefSeq lists it as uncharacterized. NCBI's taxonomy places the organism in Eukaryota, Metazoa, Arthropoda, Insecta, Hymenoptera, Apidae. The record is from RefSeq and is a predicted model, not a curated record. The transcript has 3 exons.
UUCGGAUAUACAGGGCUGAGUUCAAAAAUUUCAUUUAAAUAGUAAUUAAAUUUUGAAGAAAUCAAAACAGACGGAAGAUAAACUGUGCAGAUGUCCGCGGCACAGUCUAAUCUAAACUACGUAGACAGACAAACAGCUUUCUUUAACCUUUCGAUAAAAUAUUUUCCAUGUAAAAUCUUUUCCUGAUAACGGAGGUCAAGAUCUCCGACAUGGCAAAUGAACGAAGCAACGGAGAGAAUGUUUCACUCGGGGAAGAAGCGUGGAAUUUUUCAGCGAUCCGACAGUUUAUGAAUGGCAAGUGCAUGUCAGUGGCAGCGCGUACGACGGUCACGCACGUGCGUGGCCAUGUGUAGCAACGCGAAACGUUUAACAUUGCGUCGCGGCAUCGCGCUGCGUGUAUUGUACUUGGCCCAGGCCACGCAAUCGCAAUCGCCGUGUUAUGCAAUUCCUAGGGAUGGAAACAAACAAUAUCGCGGGCCGUGCGAUCGAUAACGCUGCAUUUUGCACGAAGGUCUGUCGCACGUGCAUGAUUUAUCGGGCCGGCUCGCUGGAUUUCGACGAUAGUGAAAACCCGACGGUGAACAACGUUCGAAAUUGCGAGGCAAAGGCUACAGAAUCCGGAAGUUCAAGGAACAUUUUCUUGAAUUCGACACUCAAUGGUCAAGCAAUUGGAGACGGAUGGAAUUUUACGUAAAGGGGAUACGAUACUGCUUCCACCCGUGACAAAACGUCCGCUAUUAGUUUUCUACACCGAAGGUCCACGCUACCUCGAAGUUCGUUGCACCAGCUCUACGUUUCCACGGAGGAGAGUUUCCUGUUUCGCCGUUUUCCUUGGCAAGAACGAAGUGACCCGAGGUAUUCGGCAAAUACCGUCGAUCAACAGUAAUAAACACGGCGGCGAGUGAUAUGCACAUUUUCCGCUAUGAUUACGAGCUAGUUACGAAAGCCUCUGUAUCAGCGCGAGCGUGUUUCGCGUUGGUGACAAUUCAAGAAGUUCAAGAUCGCGUAAAAUAAAGAACAAAAGAAAAUGUCCCAUUAUCACGAGCGAAAGUCGUGGAUUUGUGUAUCAAAUUUUAAUUUCUGGUAUCUAGCAAAAUUGUUUGAGAAACUUUUUGAAUUUUGUUGCGAAAAGUUUCAAGAAUUGUUUAAAUAUUUUCUCGUCGCUAUGCCAUCUAGAUUCUGCAAUUUUACGAGGAAAUUUAAAGAGGUUUAAUACUCAUUGUUGUUGGAAACAAUUUUGUUUGUCUUUCUGAAGCAACUGGUAAUUGGUAAGUUCUAUAAAGCGGAUGCCAAUGGAACAUUCUUCUGUCCUCGAUUGACUAGUGUGCUAUGUGAGGAGAACUAUUCUAUUUGGUAAAUGGUCUAAGGCUUUUGCAACGCGUGGCACGCGCCUGUUAUGCAAAUGCAAUUCUCUAAAGAACAUUGGAAGAAUUCUGGUUUUGCAACUCAGAAAUGCCUGCACCUUUGUGUCCACGCGUCUCGAAUGGCAUUCGACGCUUUUUCUCAAGCAAGUGUUCACGGUGUUCAACGGGCGAGAUGUUUCUUUGAAUUGUCGACUGAUGGUCGAGCUAUUAAUGCCCGUGGUAUUAAGGAAUAGACUAACUGACCUGUUGGAGGAAGAAAGGUGUUGCCUUUACAAGGUUGCGCUUGUCAGUUAGGUGAAAGCUAAUUGAUCCUUGUAUCAAGAUUACAAUUAUCUGUGGGAGACUUGGAAUGCAACUAUAUUCCAACUACUUUAAUUUAAAUUCGAGCAGUAAUUGAUUCGUUCAAUAUUUAGAAAGAAGUUUCGAAUUACAGAAUCACAAAAUCACAGAAAUAUCGCAUACAUUUAGAAAACAUUUAUAAUCUUCCAGCAUAAUUUCCCUACGCGUCGAGAAAAAUAUUUAUCGCGUAACACAUAUACACACACGCACAGACAUACGGCCAACGCUGUGGGACAAAGUCUUUCGAACGAGCAUAAUCAGAAGGAGCUACGCAGGGAAAAAAGCCACCUUUGUAUCACAUUAACCUUUCCUCUGGAACCGAGUCAAUUAGUUUCUAGAAAUCGACGAACACCUCACGUUGGGGGGAAUCGAGCGUCAGACGAACGAACACGGAAAUAAGCCGGGGAAACCGUCGAUCAUUCCAUUGCAUUGAAAGACGCCGGGGGAAACUCGGCGAAGCCGGAGGAAAUAUUAAUGAGAAAGAAAUAGCGUUUGCCGGCGUGUAAUUAGCAGCAUAAAGACGGUGGCGACAAAACAGACGCAAAGCGAAGAAAAAAAAAAAAAAAAAAGGAAAAAGAAGAAGAAGAAACAGAAAACGCGAGAAAACAAGUCGAACUCUGUUCCUUUGCACGCGCGGAACCGUCGAUAAUCUUAUCGCGUCUCUGGAAAACUCGCUAUUUGCAAUUUAAACGCGCCGAUCGGUUCGUUUCGGUUUUUCAAAUGGAAUUUUUGGCAGUGCAAUUUAUCUGAGAAGUUAUAAAAUAUUGAGUUGUUUAUUACAAGUUAUAAGAAUAGUCUUUGAAGUCGAGAAACAUUUGAAGCUGUUUUCUAUAAUAUCUGGUACGUAAAGUAAUUUUCUACUAUUUCUUUUAGAGAUUACAAACAUUUUACGCGUUAGGUUUCUGCGAUGAAUUAUUACGAUACACUUGCAGAAAAAAUACGAGAAAUGAUUGAUCUUUCUAAUUUAAAUAUUUUUUUGAGGUUCUUUUUACAGAAGAAGUUUUACUUCGUAAACAAGCGACUGUAUCGUGUGUGUUUUCUACGGUGACCAUGGUCUCGCGACGACCAUGACCGAACAGAUGCUCGCGCGUGUACGCACUUGAUCUGCUUAGAAAUUUUAUCCGAUCCGUCAGAGGUUGCGUCAGAAGACGCGCGAUACCCGUACAGAAGUGGACAAACUCGCCUCGAAGGUUUGUUUGCCACGACUUCGACUCCCUGGGACUUCAUAAAAUUACAAAACAGACAUUUCCUUCACGCUCCGAGAAUUUGACUUCGAUCGAUUAUUUUCACAUUUUCUGCUCUCAGUGUCUGUCACGUGGCUCGGCAUCGACUGAAUCAUUUCCUCAAACGUAAAGUUCGAAAAAUUUCACGGAAAAAGAGAUUCUCUCAAUGUGAAAUUCCUAAGAACGUUUCUUACUUCUCAUACAAGUACGAUGCCUAUUAAAAUAGGAUAAAAAGCAUGGAAUUGAAGGACUCUUCGGCUCUUUGAAAAUUUCCAAAAGUAUUUCCAAAAGUAUUUCUCAUUUCUCGUCCGUGUAAUAUCCAUGCGACGUCAAAUUAGCGUCACGAUGCUCGCGUCGCCAAGUCUCGACCUCGUCGGAAAGAUUAGGCGACUCACGGCCGUUCUAGAAAACGAGCGAAUAUCGGGUAAGUCCCGUGCCAAUUGAAAAACGUUUGUACGUAAAAACGCUUGCUCGUCGUGUUUAAGCGGCCGUUUCCUUUUUCGCCGUAAAUAAUCAUUUCUCUGACUCGUGCUUGCGGCUCGAAAUACCAUUUCACGCAUGCACGAUUCGUUACGAAAGAAAACUCUCGAGUGAGAGGAACGUCCGAAACGAUUUUUCGACCAUCGAUAAUGCACAAUGCUCUCGCGUUUGUAAUAAAAGCAAUCGGACACACGUUUUACGUAAAGAGUUGAAUACAAAAUUCUGCGGUUCGAGGAUUUCUCACGGAUUUUACGAGUUGUAACGACAGGUCACACAUUUCUGAAGAAGAGGAUGUUCAAUAGCGUAGAAUGUUUGAGCAGCGUGGUGUUAGGUUAAAAAGAAAAAAAAAAAAAAAAAUCAGUACUCGAGGAAUUGAAAUU